Molecule: ribosomal RNA, 253 nt
Filed under: uncultured bacterium
Lineage: Bacteria
Description: partial 16S ribosomal RNA
Rfam family: Bacterial small subunit ribosomal RNA
Source: RNAcentral
UACGUAGGGACCAAGCGUUGUCCGGAAUCAUUGGGCGUAAAGGGUGCGCAGGCGGUGGAGCAAGUCUGUUGUGAAAUCUCCCGGCUUAACCGGGAGGGUGCGGCGGAAACUGUUCUGCUGGAGUGAGGGAGAGGCAAGCGGAAUUCCUGGUGUAGCGGUGAAAUGCGUAGAUAUCAGGAGGAACACCCGUGGUGCAGACGGCUUGCUGGACCUCCACUGACGCUGAGGCACGAAAGCGUGGGGAGCAAACAGG